Long non-coding RNA from Struthio camelus australis, 2292 nucleotides. RefSeq lists it as uncharacterized. The record is from RefSeq and is a predicted model, not a curated record. NCBI's taxonomy places the organism in Eukaryota, Metazoa, Chordata, Aves, Struthioniformes, Struthionidae.
CUUUCCUUUACCACUAAUAUGACAUCUCUGCAGCCAAAAGUAAUUAAACAGAAAGAGGACAUAAAAGAGAGGCUUUGCUCUUUGAAUAUAUUUUGUCUAUCUCAUUCCCAGCUGCUCUGACAUACAGACUGAGAUAAUAUUAAUGGGAAUUGAAUUGUUUCAGACUUAACCACAGCAACUGCGUUUCUAGCCACUACGCUUUUCUGAUAGAAAUUUUGCAGAAGGCUUCUUAUUCAAGAUACAGGUGCAGGUGUGGGUGCCCAGAUGGUAACUAGUAAGAAUAGAAUGAUAAUAACAAUGUGAAGUUGUGUCUCAGCAUGUCCCCCUGCUGUGAGUUUUCCCAGUGUUUGCUUUCUCCAUUCCUGGCCAAGACUUGAAUAUUUUCUUUCUGUUCAUGUCCAGUGAAGUGAAGGACAAUUUUGUAUUAGGCACAAGCAACUCAGUUGUUGGUUCCAGUGCUUUUUUCCCGUUGCGUGCUGUAUGGCCUGUUGCUUUCAUUCUAUUUUCACACAAAACAUUCAUUACCACAUUUGCCCAUCGGUUACACAAGCUGUAGCAUUUUCUUUCGUGCUUUGAGGUUCCAGCUGUUUUGGGGUGAGGUUAAGCAUGUAAAACUCUUUUAUAUUGCAAGCAUUGCAAUGAUUAAUCUUUGUAUAGGACAGCUCAUUUACAGGUUUAUGGUACCAGGCUGUGACAAAGAGAGGUUGCAACUGGCUGUUACCAGCUUCUCCAAGGGAGAAGAAAACAACAUCAAAGAAGAAGGAGAGAUUGUUUUCUUAUUUCUCCAAGCCAGAGGACAGCCACACGCACUGUCUUUGUGAUCACUGCAAUGCAGCAAUCGCUGUUUUUUGAUGCACGUGUAGGCAGACACAACUGUAAGGCUCCAAUCCUGUAGAAAUCACUUUGCUGGUAGAUUUUAUUGUAUCAUGCAACAUUUUUAUAACUAGCUCAUUAUUUUCACUGAUAUUAUCACCUCAAUGGCAGUAAGAAGGAAAAGCAGGCAUUGAUUCCAGUGUACCAUUUUACUUUCCAAAUUAACAAACCCUGAAAAAUAAAAUACAAUGCGUUUCCUGUGUUUAGCUGCCUUUCCUGCUACUCGCUCACCAUACUGAUUAUAGGCAGCUUUGAAUUGAGUGAAAAGCUUGUACCUGGGAUCUUCAUGUUGUUGAAUCAUGUCUUCUAUGUUACAGGAACAACCUGUAGGACAGUUUUCAUCUUUCCUUUGCUGUAUGGUCAUUGGUCACUUAUCAUUUAUCUUGGAAAUGCUUGCUUCUAGUCAAAGACUGGUCAGUUUGGGGAGUGAAGCAAGGUAAACAGGAAGUGGUAUUUAAUUAUUGGAAACAUUAACUAGAGAGCUAAGAAGGUGAACGCUGAGCUGGGAGACAUGGUCCCCAUGCGGUUCAGAUGCGAGGAAGUGACUAUGAGGGUGAAGACUUGAAGAUGAAGUUGCUUCAUCCAAGGAGCAGGUCUCUCCUGCCCCACCUGCACGGAUGCAGGAGGGUGAGGAGCAGAGCUGUCCUUCCCUGUCCUGCUGUAUUGAGCGCCUGCUAGCCAGGUAAUCAGACUCGGCACAAGAAGCAAGAUGGAAAAAGAGGUAUGACUGUCUUACCACGAAGUCGUUAAGGGAGGGAAGCACUGCCAAUGUUGCUGAAGACUAUUUUUUCCGUGUUGGCAAGAGGACAUCGUGUUUCUCACAUCCUUUUUGAUCAAAGAUGAACUAACUGGAGCUGGUUUUGUAAGACUGUAGCCACUUCUACUGCUUUGAAGAAAGUUAAGCACUAUGUGGAACAUAUACAGGAAGUUUAGUGGCCAUGCAAGGUCAGUUAAAAGACAUGGAAUGAAAACUCUCAGUUAAUUUCUUGUCUUUACUCUAGAUGAUGAUGACGCUCAAGAACUCAGCCACUAGAGGGUAAUAUAAGAUAAGGGAAAAUACCCUCAAAUUUGAGCUAUGGCCUUUUUCCACAACUGAGAAAAGGCUCAGAUUUAAGUGACAAUAUUUAUCCAAAUCAGAUAAACGGACUCACCUCUUCUAUUGCAGUUGUGCAUUUCAGUUUUGCCUGGCGUCUAACACUAAAUAUAGAACAAAUUCUAAAGACAUUUUGAAGUACUUUUCUCUCAAAUUGAUACCGAUGCUUUCCUUAGCUGAACUAUAGCAACAAUAAAAAGUGAAACCUCAUGUGAACGAAGUAACUGGUGACCUGGAUUCCAAGAAGGAAGAUCACAGAGUCUUUUGUGAGUUUGUAAGCAUCCUAACUUCAGCAAGGGGAACAUGUAUUUGCUAAGACUGCUUGG